RNAcentral lists this ribosomal RNA (495 nucleotides) under uncultured bacterium. RNAcentral's name for it is "partial 16S ribosomal RNA". It matches the Rfam family "Bacterial small subunit ribosomal RNA", at positions 28 to 505 of the family's 1533-position model. The record is from RNAcentral.
GAUGAACGCUGGCGGCGUGCCUAAUACAUGCAAGUCGAGCGAACGGACGAUAAUCUUGCUUUUCUGAUGUUAGCGGCGCGCGUGUGAAUAACACGUGUAUAAUGUCCCUAUAAUACUGGUAUAACUUCGGGAAUCCGGAUCUAAUACCAGAUAAUAUUUUGAACCACAUUGUUCAAAAGUGAAUGACGGUCGUGCGGGCACUUAUAGAUGGUUCCGCGCUUCAUUAGCUAGUUGGUAAGUUCACGGCUUAUCAAGGCAACGAUGCAUAGCCGACCUGAGAGGGUGAGCGGCCCUGAUGGAACUGAGACACGGAUCAGAAUCCAACGAGAGGCAGCAGUAGGGAAUCAUCCGCCAGGGGCGAAAGUCGGACGGAGCAACGCAGCGUGAGUGAUGAAGGUCGUCGGAUCGUAAAACUCUGUCAUUAGGGAAGAACAUAUGUGUAAGUAACUGUGCACAUCUUGACGGAACCGAAUCAGAAAGCCACGGCUAAAUACG